This 296-nucleotide ribosomal RNA is filed under the name uncultured bacterium. RNAcentral's name for it is "partial 16S ribosomal RNA". It matches the Rfam family "Bacterial small subunit ribosomal RNA", at positions 775 to 1067 of the family's 1533-position model. The record is from RNAcentral.
GGAUUAGAUACCCUGGUAGUCCACGCAGUAAACGUUGAUUACUAGGUGUUGGUUGCAUAAAGCAAUCAGUGCCGCAGCAAACGCGUUAAGUAAUCCGCCUGGGGAGUACGGUCGCAAGAUUAAAACUCAAAGGAAUUGACGGGGGCCUGCACAAGCGGUGGAGCAUGUGGUUUAAUUCGAAGCAACGCGAAGAACCUUACCUGGACUUGACAUCUCGGGAAUUUUUUAGAGAUAAGAAAGUGCCCUUUUUGGGAACCCGAAGACAGGUGCUGCAUGGCUGUCGUCAGCUCGUGCCG